RNAcentral lists this small RNA (190 nucleotides) under Myxococcaceae bacterium. Its description in RNAcentral is "6S RNA". Lineage: Bacteria; Pseudomonadati; Myxococcota; Myxococcia; Myxococcales; Myxococcaceae. The record is from RNAcentral.
UGUCCCCUGCAGGGUGCGUGAUUGAGCAGCUGAAAUUCGAACCGAUACGUUCAACCCGGGGGUCGUUCCGGGCUGCAUGUGCAGGCCCUCAGCCGUGAGAGGGAAGCCUACGGAGCCAGGACUCGACUCCCACCUUAAACAGGUAUGGGUUCAAUGGACGUUGCACACACGGCCCAAUGGCGGGGGACUU